This 339-nucleotide long non-coding RNA is filed under the name Elaeis guineensis (African oil palm). RNAcentral's name for it is "long non-coding RNA (EGUI_LNC028201)". Lineage: Eukaryota; Viridiplantae; Streptophyta; Magnoliopsida; Arecales; Arecaceae. The record is from RNAcentral.
ACCUCAUCUCUGGUGUGAGUGGGUUUCCUUUGCAGGUCCAUCUAGUAUCUCGACGUCUAAAUCACCCUCUACUUUCAGCCACAUCAACACCUCCAAAGUCUUGACGCAACAUGUAUAACACUCAUAGCAAUGUAUUUAUCAAAAAACUACUCAUACCACUAAUGGGUAUAUACAUAAAAGGCAUGCCGAAUGUGGAGGGGUUUGGGAACAUGAGCAUGGCCAAAUUUUUUCUGCUAUGACUGUUGUGUGUUUUGUUGGUACUUUAAGAUUCAUGCUCAAGUUUCUUUCCAUCUGAUUGUCCACGAUCGAACUAGUUGCGGCAAUUGGUGGCACUGGAGG